GACGAACGCUGGCGGCGUGCCUAAUACAUGCAAGUAGAACGCACAGUUUAUACCGUAGCUUGCUACACCAUAGACUGUGAGUUGCGAACGGGUGAGUAACGCGUAGGUAACCUGCCUGGUAGCGGGGGAUAACUAUUGGAAACGAUAGCUAAUACCGCAUAAUAUUAAUUAUUGCAUGAUAAUUAAUUGAAAGGUGCAAUUGCACCACUACCAGAUGGACCUGCGUUGUAUUAGCUAGUAGGUGAGGUAACGGCUCACCUAGGCGACGAUACAUAGCCGACCUGAGAGGGUGAUCGGCCACACUGGGACUGAGACACGGCCCAGAAUCCUACGGGAGGCAGCAGUAGGGAAUUUUCGGCAAUGGACGAAAGUCUGACCGAGCAACGCCGCGUGAGUGAAGAAGGUUUUCGGAUCGUAAAGCUCUGUUGUAAGAGAAGAACGGGUGUGAGAGUGGAAAGUUCACACUGUGACGGUAUCUUACCAGAAAGGGACGGCUAACUACGUG
This 505-nucleotide ribosomal RNA is filed under the name uncultured bacterium. Its description in RNAcentral is "partial 16S ribosomal RNA". It matches the Rfam family "Bacterial small subunit ribosomal RNA", at positions 28 to 507 of the family's 1533-position model. The record is from RNAcentral.